UCCCAUGUCUGAUGUGUUCUCAUUUUUUUGCAGGAAUGCAUUCUGCUCAAAGGAGUAAAGGCAUGAAUUCUUUUCUUAAAACGAAAGUAACAGCAAAGAACCUACUGUUUAGCUUUGUUCGGAGAUACCAAAAUAUGAUAAAUAGCAUUCGCGAGGCCGAGAAUUUGGACGAUCACAAAGAUACUUUCUGGCAUCCUAGAUUUAUUACGUCUAUGGACAUUGAGAAAGCGCUCUGAGUUUCUUUACCACUGCUAUUUUUCUUCUUUUUCAAUAGGAGAUGUGGAAAAGCUCCAUCUAUAAUAUAUUACCACCGAAUGACCGGUCAACCGAGGUAUUUCUUCUUCCUUUGCAUCAUUUUUUGUCUCU
Molecule: long non-coding RNA, 366 nt
Filed under: Zostera marina
Lineage: Eukaryota; Viridiplantae; Streptophyta; Magnoliopsida; Alismatales; Zosteraceae
Description: long non-coding RNA (ZMAR_LNC003331)
Source: RNAcentral